This is a long non-coding RNA of Dromaius novaehollandiae (emu), 385 nucleotides long. RefSeq lists it as uncharacterized. The record is from RefSeq and is a predicted model, not a curated record. The transcript has 4 exons. Lineage: Eukaryota; Metazoa; Chordata; Aves; Casuariiformes; Dromaiidae.
GGAGUCCAACGCUAAUGUGGUGGCACCUGUCUUGUCCUGGGGAGAGCAAAGAGGACACUGAAGAGACAGUAUAAACAGGUAAACAUUUGUGUUUCAUCUAAUAAAUAGCAACUGUACAUGCACCCUGGACAUUUUACUAGAUUUGCUGCACUACAGGUGUUUACAUUGAUGAAUCUACAACUAAGAAGAAAAAGGAAACAAGUCUUGAAGUGUAAAGAAAAUGAGCUGAGCCAGGUAUGUGAAGGUAGACAGAUGCUUGUGCAGUGAGGCAUGCCGGUGGCCCAAAACACUCAAGCUUACUACAGUAUUUUUUCAGGUGUUUUGUUGAACAACUUUCCAAGAAUUGAAGUGGAGCUGAAUGUUAUAUGUUUCCCAGUUUCCCCUU